AAGAGCGGGACACAACCAACUGAGCCAUUCAAGUGCCCCUACAAAUGCUAAUUUUUAUAAUUAUCAUUACUGAAUUUAUGCUGAAAAAUAUCCAGGUUGGAAAUGUUUGAGAGCUGAAGGAAACCUGUAGCUCUGAUUAGAAUGAACUUAGAUUAUACAGAAGGCCUGCCCUACAAUUAUACAUGUGCCGACAUUAAAACUCAGAGAAGCAGCAGCCCAUGGUACAAGGACUAAGUGGUAGCUUAAUAUAAUAGAAUAUAAUGGAAACCAUAUGGUGCAUGGGCAGGCAGCCCCUUGCCGUGGAUACUACGUUGUUCUCACCACAUUAAUGUACACACUGAAGACCAACCAAGGGAGAUGACGACACCAAGAAUCAGAGCAGUGAUGUGACCUUCCAAGUUAACAACAGAGAGAAGUGAUAGAAAGGCAAUGAGAAUUCAAAUUAUAACUACCAAGGUAGUAUUUCUUUUCUCUACCAGAUGAGACCACAUUUUCUCCAAUUCCAUAAACCUACCUCAUUCAAGAAGGGCAAAC
Herpailurus yagouaroundi (jaguarundi) is the source of this 534-nucleotide long non-coding RNA. RefSeq lists it as uncharacterized. The record is from RefSeq and is a predicted model, not a curated record. The transcript is spliced from 4 exons. Lineage: Eukaryota; Metazoa; Chordata; Mammalia; Carnivora; Felidae.